UCUCUCUCUCUAUCUCUCCCCUUUUCUCUUUCUCUCCUCUUUCUUUUUUCAAAACAGAUAAAUCCUUUCAAAAUCACGACUUCCAUAUAAUCUGCUUGCCUCUGCCGUGGAUUAACAUCGUGUUUUGUUCGUUCUGGGGAUGCUCUCUUCAAGAUCCGGUGGACAAAAUAUGCUCAGAUUAAGGCUGAGUAUGAUAUUUCUCAACAAAAUGCGUCAGCAAGCCUGCAAGUGGAGAAAAUUGUUUCAUGUUAUUGAUGGACAAGUAUCGUCAUUCUCGCGAAUAUUGUCCACUAAGAAAGCGAAAGACAUAACUAUGGUGGACAAGUUUUGUAAACUUGUCCAUCCAAGCGGAUAUGUUUUACUAAGUCUGAAGGACAUAAAUGUGGUGGACAAAAAACUUGUUCAAGAGAGCGAAGGACAUAACUAUAGUGGACAAGUUUUGUAAACUUGUCCACCCAAGUGGAUACAAACAAAUUUGAAAUGGACUAAACCUGACUGAACGUUGGAUCUGGUCCACUAGAAGUUCAUCACAUAUGUGUUUUGUGCCACAAAAUUGUCCCUGUUUCAAAACACACAUCACUCAUCCCAAUUUUUUUCAAUCUUUUAUUUUUUUAAUUUAAGGAUAGAAAUAUCUUUUUCUCUUAUGCCAUAAACUUAGAAAAUGGCAUUUCUGAAAAGGAAAAACUAAAAUGACAUUUCUCACAACUUUCAUUUCAA
Camelina sativa (false flax) is the source of this 717-nucleotide long non-coding RNA. RefSeq lists it as uncharacterized. Lineage: Eukaryota; Viridiplantae; Streptophyta; Magnoliopsida; Brassicales; Brassicaceae. The record is from RefSeq and is a predicted model, not a curated record.